UACAGUAGUCAUCCUUUAUCUAAGAUUUCACUUUCGGUGGUUUUAGUUACCUGAGGUCAACCAAGACCCCAAAAUAAGUAAUGAAUGGAGAAAAUAGGAAAAGAAGAUUCUGAAAAAAUUUUCACAAGUCCUUAAGUGAAGGUAAACUUUUUGAUCAGGGAGAGGAAAAUCUGGUGAAAUGGAGUUCCCAACAUUCAUUUUAUCUACUCCCCACUGUUAAAUAUUUCAUGGUGAUGUUUACAAAAAUGAGUCUUUAUGCAGAGUUAAGACAAGGCAAGUACAAGCUACUUACCAAUCUGUUUUAAAAGAAAAUUAUAAGUGUUUACAUGGAGAA
This is a long non-coding RNA of Symphalangus syndactylus (siamang), 334 nucleotides long. RefSeq lists it as uncharacterized. The record is from RefSeq and is a predicted model, not a curated record. NCBI's taxonomy places the organism in Eukaryota, Metazoa, Chordata, Mammalia, Primates, Hylobatidae.